GCUGGGUGUGGUGGCACACACCUGUAAUCCCAGCUACUUGGGAGGCUGAGGCAGGAGAAUCACUUGAACCCAGGAGGCAGAGGUUGCAGUGAGCCGAGAUUGUGCCACUGCACUUCAGCCUGAGCAACAGAGUGAGAUUCUGUUUCAA
This 148-nucleotide non-coding RNA is filed under the name Nomascus leucogenys (northern white-cheeked gibbon). The record is from Rfam by way of RNAcentral. Lineage: Eukaryota; Metazoa; Chordata; Mammalia; Primates; Hylobatidae.